CACUUUUUUCAAAUAGGCGUAUCUAGCAUUGACAUGAAAUUGAGAAAUCGAGGUGUGAAGUUUUCAUUCAGAAAAUAAAUUAAAUAUUUCAAAUUAAAAGCUCUAAUAUUCCAAAAACCGCUCCACCGUCUUCAGUGUCUAAUGGUUUACCAUGGUAUAAUUUGGUAUGAUUAUUGAGAUUGAUUUACCCACUCAAAACUGACAAAAAUAUGCUCACGCCCUUUAAGUUUUGGCAUAUUGGUUGCGCCCUUUACAUAUAUCGCCAUUUGACAAAACAAAAAUUAAUUUCGCCUGUUUACAUAGCCUUUUUGUGUUUUGGAUGUUUAAUGUCGCCCUGUUGCUGAGCCUGUUUACCAAUCGAGAAAACAAAUGCGCCCUUCUGCAUUUUGUUUAGUAAUUCGUAAAUUACUAGGAAAACCCAGGUAAAAAUUUAAGAUUGAUCCUGAACGCGUAAGAUUUGCAGUGGUGGUGCAAUCAGUCGUGAGCGAUGCAGUUCUAUCCAACGGAUAAAAAUAAAAUAAGGCUGUUAUCAGUAA
Long non-coding RNA from Aedes aegypti (yellow fever mosquito), 536 nucleotides. RefSeq lists it as uncharacterized. Lineage: Eukaryota; Metazoa; Arthropoda; Insecta; Diptera; Culicidae. The record is from RefSeq and is a predicted model, not a curated record. The transcript has 2 exons.